ACAUGGGGAGGCCCAGCCAGUCAAACCCAGAACAGCCCGGCUGAGCUCAGCCUAAUUCUGUGACUUUCAGGAUGAGUAACAAAAUAAAUGAUUCUUAUUUUAAGUCAAAAUUUUGGAGAGCAAUCUUCCUCUUGUCAAUGUCUAUCUCAGUGCUAUUUCAGACUCCUUUCGUACUGUCAAAUCUCACUCAACUUUUAGCAUCUAUUUCAAUUGGCAUCUCUUCCAAGAAGAUUUUUCUAAUUUCCUCAAGUGAUGUGUUAUCUCCCCUAUAAUUGAACCCCAUUUUGAUAUUUGUGUCCCUUUUUAGCUUUUUUUUUAACUUGUUUUCUAUUAGAGGUGUUAGUGUCCUACUCAUCUUGCUUUUCCUACAGCUAGUAAGUGGACAUCCAGGAGGUACAAGGAUAUAUCCCAGACCUGGCCAGUCAUGCUACCAUUUCCCAUAAUAAUCUCCUUAAGAAGUGAGCACCAGACCCAAGUCAUUCAGAUACUACCUGUAAGAUAUAGGCACUGAGGGAAAGAGUCUGGUUUUUCUUUUAGAUGAAGAGCUAUAAGAAUGGAAUCGAGACUAGGAGAGGAACAUCCAAAGGAGAGAAAAUGACUGCAGUGGGAGAGAACAAGAGCUACGAUCAAAAAGAGGAGAGACAAGCAGCACUGAGGAAGACAGAAGGGUAAGAAGAGAUGAUGUCAGAAGUGGGAUCCAAAGAAAAGCUUCCAGUGACCCCCAGGAGCACUGAGUGACCAAGCAAGGUACCUUUGCAGACUAGAAAACCUCUCCCUCUGCACACUGAGAAUUCCCACUGCAGUGAAUGGAAGGUCAAUGUAUGUAAAGCCCACGUGAGCAGUGGCGGUUCAAGCCCAGAGAAAGAAGGUGUUGAGUUGCCUUGGUAAAGAAUUUAUACACCAUGUGUUCACAGCUUCUUGACAGAUGAUUCUAUUUUUCCUCAUGAAGGCAAAGAAUAACCAACAUUUAUGUUACGACUCUUAGGGCUUUUAGUAGUGCUUUUGUUGAGGUAGAAGCCAGCAAAACCUCUCUCUGCUAGGCUGGGAGCACCAAUAUUCCUUCUCUGACGUGGACAUUAAAUCUGUCUCUCUUCAUAAGGUCAGCCUGACACCACAUGAAACAGAGUAGGCAAUUACCUCUAUGGUCAGAGUUUGGGGAGCAGUCUUGCCAGAUACUACCCCCAUACCUGCCACUCUUCCACUAUUAGAGGGUCAUUUCUUUCAGAGAGAACAGUGAUUUUUACAUCUUCGUUCUCAAAGCUGCAGAUAUUUUUAUUUCAAUGAAUGCCAAGCACCAUAUUGAAAACAGAUUUUAACAAAAUUGUUCUGUUUACUUUGCGUCAACACUCUCCAGCUGUCAUGCUUUAAAGAGAUGUGCCCAACCUCCCCUGGGGCCUACUGAGUGGAUUGAAAACCGUGCAUAAACCCAUUGUGUUUCCUCAGGAGUCACCAACGAGAUAUUAUAUAACAACACAUAAGCAUUAACAUUUUAACUAUUAUAAUAUCAUCAUUCUGACUACUACUUCUAUCACUAAUGAAAAUUUAUUGAGUGCUCACUAAGUGUCACAUAUUUUGCUAAGAGUUUCACAUUUUUUUUUCAUAUUUAAUCUCCACAACAGACCAUUUUACUGAAUCUUAGAUUGAAUAACUUCCUAAAGGUCAUUUAGCUACAAAGUGACCAGAGAUCUAGACUGAGUUCUUUUUUUUUUUUUUGAGUUGAAGUAAAUCUUCACUUCCCAGACUCAAGCGAUUCUUCUGCCUCAGCCUCCUGAGUAGCUGGGACUACAGGCAUGUGCCACCACCUCCAGCUAAUUUUUGUAUUUUUAGUAGAGAUGGGGUUUCCUCAUGUGAGCCAGUCUGGUCUCAAACUCCUGACCGCAGGUAAUCUGCCUGCCUUGGCCUCCAAAGUGCUGGGAUUACAGGUGUGAGCCACCGUGCCUGGCCUAGAGGCUGAGUUCUUAAUGAAUUAAAUGAUAAUAUAACUACAUGUCCUGAAGGAAUGGGACUCAGAACAGGUGAAUUUUAGUAAGUCUUGGAUCUCUUCAUCUAUCCAGGGCAGGAGUCAGCCUGAGAGAGAGCACUGGGCAUUCAACAUGUGGGCCACUGACAUACCUGUUGGGAAGAACCAGCUGCAACAAAUGUUAGUAUUGCCCUCAGUCAUGAUUUAUAAUUUAACUGAUUAACAAUUUAUUUUUAAGAAAAGCUUCUUUUCCAUAUUAGUGUGUCUUGUUGAUCAAAUUGCCUACUAACUCUUAAAAGAGCCAUUGUGGUAGGCAGAAUAGUGCCUCCUCGUCCACUAAAUGUUAAGUCCACAUCCUAAUCUCCAUAAACUAUAAAUAUGUUUGAUUACAUGAUAAAGGGCAGUUAAGGUUGUAAAUGAAAUUAAGGUUGCUAAGAAGCCUAUGUUAAAAUAGGGAAAUAACCCUGGAUUAUUUAGUUCAAUCCAAUGUAAUUAAAAGUGGAAGAGGGAUGAGUCAAAGAAAAAAAAUCACAAGAGAAAUUUAAGAAUAUUUUGAACCAAGUAAAAAUAAAAAAUAAAAAUGUUUUGAUAAGUUGUGGGAACCAAAAAAUCAAUCAUCUAUGCUUCUUCCUUAGGAAACUAGAAAAAGGGCAAAUUAUAUCCAAAGUAAGCAGAAGAAAACAAAUAAUAAACAUUAAUGAAGAUUAAUUUUUCAUUAAUAAAAAUUAAUGUGGAAGAAAUCAAUGAAAUUGAAAAUAGGAAAUUAAUAGAGAAAAUCAAUGAAAUCAAAAGCUGAUUAUUUAAAAUGAUCAAUAAAAACCAAGCACUGUGGUGCAUGCCUGUAGUCCCAGCUACUUAGGAGACUGAGAUGGAAGAACUAUGUGAGCCCAGGAAUUUAAGUCCAGCCUAGGCAACAUAGCAAGACCCUUCAUCUCGAAAAAAAUAAAAUAAAAAGACGGAUAAAAUCAAUAAACUUCUAGCCAAGCUAACAAAAAGGAAGAGAAGACACAAAUUAUUACUUCUAUUAGAAAUGAAAGUGGUCACAUCACUACAAAUACCAUGGACAUUAAAAGCAUAGUAAAAAAAUACUAUGAACAACUUUAUAUCCACCAUUUUGAUAACCUAGAUGAAAUGGACAAUUCCUUGAAAGACACAGUCUGGGCCGGGUACGGUGGCUCACACCUGUAAUCCCAGCAUUUUGGGAGGCCGAGGCUGGCGGAUCAUCUGAGGUCGGGAGUUUGAGACCAGUCUGACCAACAUGGAGAAAACUGGUCUCUACUAAAAAUACAAAAUUAGCUGGGUGUGGUGGCGCAUGCCUCUAAUCCCAACUACUCGGAAGGCUGAGGCAGGAGAAUUGCUUGAACCCGGGAGGUGGAGGUUGCAGUGAGCUGCGAUCGUGCCAUUGCACUCCAGCCUGGGCAGCAAGAGUGAAACUCCGUCUCAAAAAAAAAAAAAAAAAAAAAAAAAAAAAAGACACAAUCUGCUAAAACUCACAUGAGAAGAAAUAGACAAUUUGAAUAGGUCUAUAUUUAUAAAAGAAAUCGAAUCAAUACUUAGUAGCCUUCCAAAGCAGGAAGCACCCGACCCUGAUAGGUUCACUGGAGAAUUCUACCAAAAUUUAAGAAAUAAGUUAUACCAAUUGUCUAUAAUUGCUUUCAGCAUAUCAGAUAGAAGCAGAGCGAAUAUUUCCUAACUCAUUCUAUAUGGCCAGCAUUACAUUAAUACCAAAGCCAGACGAAGACACUAGAAGAAAAAAAAACCAACUACAGACCAAUAUCUCUCAAGAACAUAAAUUUAAAAACCCUCAACAAAAGUUAGCAAAUCAAAUCCAACAAGAUUUAAAAAUGUUAAUGACCUUAAUGUCCAUUCAGAAGAGAUUGAUUAUUGUAUACCUAGAAAUUAAAACUUUACACAGAUAUUUAAAAUGUAGACCUAAGUCUACUAAUGUUAACCAUAUUGUUUAAUUUUUAAAAAUCAGGUUAUAAUUUAGCAUGUAAAAUAUGAGUGAAAAUAAGCAUAUAUAUAUAUAUAUAAACAUACAUAUAAACAUACAUAUAUAGAAAUAACAUUUCUGGAGAAAAAACUGUGUACUAAAAUGAAGUGAGAUUAUAGCUGAAAAGUUAAUUUAUUCUUUAUACUUCUCUACUGUCUAAAAAUUUUGCAAUGAAAAAGUGUCACUUUCAUACACAAACAUCAAAUGUAAAUCAAUAGAAAUAAAUUAACAGUUUUGCAAGCACCAAGACAACAACAAAAGUGAAAGAGGGGGACAGAAAACAGCGUUGUGAUGAAGGCAGAGGUCAGAGAAAUGCAAUGUGAGAAGGAUUCCACUACCGCUACUCGUUUUGAAGAUGGAGGAAGGGCCCAGGAAGCAAUGAAUUUUCCCCUAGAGCCUCCUAAAGCCCAGUAAAACUGUGUUGGACUUCUAUCCUACAGAAUUACAAGAUAUAUUUUUAAAAUUGUAUAUUCAAUUGGCAAAUAAUAAUUGUAUACAUUUGUGAUGUACAAAUUUGUGAUGUACAAAUAAAUUUGUGAUGUAUAAAUAUAUUGAAUUGAUGUUUUGAUAUGUUUAAAAUGUGAAAUGAUUAAACCAGAUAAAAUAAUUAACACAUUUUAUCACCACACAUACUUAUUUUUUGUGGUGGAAAUAUUUAAAAGCUAUCCUUUUAACAAUUUUGAAAUAGAUAUUAUUAUUUAACUCAUCAUUCUGUGCAAUAGAUCACUAAAGCUUAUUCCUCCUGUCUAACUGAAACUUUAUACCCUUUGGUCAACUUCUCCCCUUUCUUUCCCCGAUCACCCUUCUCCUCUACCUCUGAUAAUCACUAUUCUACUCUCUACUUCUAUGAGUCUAACUUUUUUUUUUUUUUUUUGAGACAGUGUCUUCCUCCGUUGCCCAAGCUGGAGUGCAGUGGUGCGAUCUCGGCUCACUGCAACCUCCACCUCCUGGGUUCAAUCUAUUCUUUUGCCUCAGCCUCCUGAGUAGCUGGGAUUAGAGGUGCACCACCACACCUGGCUAAUUUUUGUAUUUUUAGUAGAGACAGGGUUUCACCAUAUUGGCCAGGCUGGUCUCAAACUCCUGACCUCGUGAUCCACCCACUUCGGCCUCCCAAAGUGCUGGAAUUACAGGUGUGAGCCACCGCACCUGGCCGAGUCUAACUUUUUAAGAUUCCGCUUAUAAGUGAGACAUGUGGUAUUUGUUCUUCUGUGCCUGGCUUAUUUCAUUUAGCACAAUGUCUUCCAGGUUCAUCCAUGUUGUUGCAAAUGAAAGAUUUCCCUCCCUUUUAAGGCUGAAUAGUAUUCUGUUAUGUAUGUCUAUUUAGCUGAAGCUGGACACCUACGUUGCUCCCUUAUCUUAGCUAUUGUGAACAAUGCUGCAAUCUACAUGUACUGCAGGUAUCCUUUUAACAUGCUAAUUUCAAUUCAUUUGGAUAUAUCCCCAGAAGUGAGAUUGCUGGAUCAUAUGGUGGUUCUAAUUUUAGUUUUUGAGGACCCUCCUCCAUAUUAUUUUCCAAAAUGGCUGUAUUAAUUUACAUUCCCACCACUGGUGCACAAGGAUUCCUCUUACUCCAUACGUUUGCAAACACUUGUUAUCUUUUUUCUUUUUUAAAAUUUAAAAUUUUACUUUUUUUUUUUUUUUAGAGAUGGGGGUCUCACUAUGUUGCCUAGGGUGGACUCAAAUUCCUGGACUCAGGCAAUCCUCCUGCCUCACCCUCCUCCUCCUGUGUAGCCGGGACUACAGGUGCUUGCUACCACAUCUGGCUUUGUCUUUUUUUGAUAACAGCCAUUCUAACAGGUGUGAGGUGAAACCUCACUGUGGUUUUAAUUUGCAUUACCCUGAUUAUUAGUGACAAUGAGCAUUUUUCAUGCAUCUGUUAGCUAUACCUUAGGCUUCUUUUGAGAAAUGUCUAUUAAGUCAUUUCCCCAUUUUUGAUUGGGUUAUUUGUUUUCUUGCUAUUGAGUUGUUUAAGUUCCAUACAUAUUUUGGAUAUUAGUCCUUUAUCAGAUGUAUGGUUUGCAAAUAUUUUCUUCUAAUCCAUGGGUUAUUUCUUCAAUCUGUUGUUUCCUUUGCUGUGAAGAAGCUGUUUAGUUGGGUAGAAUCCUGUAUGUCUAUUUUUACUUUUGUUGCCUGUGAUUUUGGGAAGGUAUCCAAUAAAUCUUUGCCCAAACCAAUGUUGUGGAGCGUUUCUUUCAUUUUCGUCUAGUAGUUUCACAGUUUCAAGUCUUACAGUUAAGUUUCCAAUCAUUUUAAGUUGGUUUUGUUAUGGGGUGAGAUAAGGGUCCAAUUUCAUUCUUCUGCUUUGGAUAUCCAGUUUUCCCAACACCAUUGAUUGAAGAGAUUGUCCUUUAUCCAUUGCAUGUUUUUGAUACCUUUGUCAAAAAUCAAUUAACUGUAAAUAUGUGGAUUUAUUUCUGGGUUCUCUAGCUUGUUCCAUUGGUCUAUGUGUCUGUCUUUAUGUCAACAGCAUGUUGUUUUGAUUACCAUAGCUUUGUAAUAGACCCUGAGGUCAGGUAGUGUGAGGCCUUCAGUCUGGUUCUUUAUGCUCAAAGUUGAUUUGGCUAUUUGAUGUCUUUUGUGGUUCCAUGCAAAUUUUGGGAUUUUUUUUUCCUACUUCUGUGAAAAAUGACAUUGGAAUUUUGAUAGUAAGAGCAUUGAAUUCUACAGCAUUAUAGGAAACAAUAAAUUUGUGUUAUUUUAAGCUACUAUAUUUGUGGUAAUUUUUAUGGUAGCCAUGGAAAGCUAAUGCAUCUUUGAGGAUGAAGUAAUUUGAAGUAUGGGGUACUAUUUUAAAGGUAAUCGAUAAGGGUGAUUUGGAUAACUGCAUAAGACUGAAUCCCCAGACAGUUCACAAAUAUGUCUGUGAAGUGGGGUCAGGAAAAGUAAGGGUGGCAAUAUGAAUAAGAGCAAGAGGCUUUAAAGCCCAUGUUCCUGUGUUUGAAUCGUGGCCCUAUUACUUGUUAUAAUAGCUGUGAAAUGUUAGGUACAUUUAAAAAACUCCUAUAUGCUUCAGUUUCCACUUUAUUUUUAAAUUUUUUUAAUUUUUAAUUUUUGUGGGUACAUGAUAUAUAUAUUUAUGGGGUCCAUGAGAUGUUUUGAUACAGACAUGCAAUGUGUCAUAAUCACAUCAUGGAAAGUGGGGUAUGCAUCCUCUUAAGUAUUUAUCCUUUGUGUUACAAACAAUCCAGUUGUACUCAUUUAGUUAUUUUUAAGGGUAUAGCUAAAUUAUUAUUGACUAUAGUCACCCUGUUGUGCUGUCAAAUACUAGGCCUUAUGCAUUCAUUGUGUUUUUGUACCCGUUAACCAUCCCCACCUCCCUCCCCACUCCUCCACUAUCCUUCCCAGCCUCUGGUAACCAUCCUUCUACCCUCUAUCUCCAUGGGCUCAAUUGCUUUGAUUUUUAGUUCCCACAAAUAAGUGAGAAUAUGUGAUGUUUGUCUUUCUGUGCUUGGCUUAUUUCACUGAAAAUAAUGAUCUCCAUGUUAUUGCAAAUUACUGAAUUUUUUUUUUUUUUCUGAGACAGAGUCUUGAUCUGCCAUCAAGGCUGGAGUGCAGUGGCAUGAACCUGGCUCACUGCAACCUCCAGCUCCUGUGUUCAAAUGAUUCUUGUGCCUCAGACUCCAAAGUAGCUGGGAUUAUAGGCGUGUGUCACCAGCUCUGGCUAAUUUUUUUUUUUCUUUUUUUUGUAUUUUUACUAGAGAUGGGGUUUUGCCAUGUUGGCCAGGCUGGUCUCAAACUCCUGGUCUCAAGUGAUCCAGCCGCUUUGGCCUCCCAAAAUAUUGGGAUUACAGGUGUGAGCCACCGUGCCUGGCAUGAAUCUCAUUCUCUUUUAUUGCUGAAUAGUACUCCAUUGUGUACAAGUACCACAUUUUCUUUAUCCAUUCAUCUGUUGAUGGACACUUAGGUUGCUUCUAAAUCUUGGCUAAUGUGAACAGAGCUGCAGCAAACAUGGGAGUGCAGAUAUCUGCAGUGGGAACCUCCAAACUGUUCUCCAUAGUGGUUGUACUAAUUAGUUUACUCUUUAAAACAAGAUUAAACAUAGUACCUAAUCUGCAUAAGGCUAUUGUAAAGAUUAAGUAAUUUAAUAUAUAUGAGGCACUUAAAAGAGUUCUUGGCACACACUAAUUGUUUAAUAAGUGUUAGUCAGCUUUAUGAUUAUUUCUGUCCGGUGUUCUGCUUGGAAACUCUGGGUUCCUUGCAUUCGAUUUUAUUGGAGUCAUCCCCUGGAACUUGGUUUUCUUAGUGACUAGGCGGAUAGUUUUCGUAAUAAUUCCCUGGAUUAGAUCAUCAGGAUCAUGCAUGUGGUAAUGCUAGAAGAAGGUAGAGAAGGGUUUUAAAGGUAGGCAAAAUAAAGAAAAUGGGGGGUCUUUAGAGUGGGAGGAAAAAGAGAUUUGGUGAGGCUACUGUCAAAUGCCAGCAACUUUGUAAAUUUAAUAAGAUACAGGCUGGUUUUGACUGGAAUGAAUUCUCCACCCUAGAUCUAGCCAUGGAGGUCAGGGACACGAUUUUGGUCUUGACUUCCUCAGAAUGUUGAUAUCUCCAGAGAUAUUCCUCUUUCUUCUUAUUUUUAUUUUUUGAGAAUCUGGGUGAAAUAUUAUAUACAUGGAGUCACAAUAAAAAACUGAGGUGCUUCAAGCUGAAUAAAUAUAACACUCUGAUAUGGUUUGACUGUGUCCCCACCCAAAUCUCAACUUGAGUUGUAUCUCCCAGAAUUCCCGUGUUGUGGAAGGGACCCAGGGGGAGGUAAUUGAAUCAUGGUGGCUGGUCUUUCCUGUGCUGUUCUUGUGAUAGUGAAUAAGUCUCACGAGAUCUGAUGGGUUUAUCAGGGGUUUCUGCUUGUGUUUAUUCCUCAUUUUUCUCUUGCUGAGACCAUGUAAGACGUGCCUUUCAGUCUGGGCAUGGUGGCUCACAUCUGUAAUCCCAGCUACUUGGGAGGCUGAGGUAGGAGAAUCGCUUGAACCCAGGAGGCAGAGGUUGCAGUGAGCUGAGAUCGCACCACGGCACUGUAGCCUGGGUGACAGAGAGAGACUCUGUAUUAAAAAAACAAAAAACAAACAAAAAAUAGUGGCUUUCCCCUCCAGCCAUGAUUCUGUGGCCAUGUGGAACUGUAAGUCCAAUUAAGUCUCUUUUUGUUCCCGGUUUUGGGUACAUUUUUAUCGGCAGCGUGAAAAUGAACUAAUACAACUCUUUCUCAAAAAAAGUGGGUAUAGCACGAAUAAAACCCGAAUUCAUAUUCUCUGUUAACAUUUCUAGCAUAUUAUUGUGCAGCAAUAAUUUUUUUACAUUUUAGAAAAUGUAAUGUGUAUCCUUCAAUAUUAUCAAAUAUAGAAGUUAGGGGAAAAGACUAUUGAUUUUUACUUUAAGAGAGUUUACAAUUAAAAGUAAGCAUAAGAGAAAAUUUCCUGCACAGUACUUGCAUUAAAUCUUUUUUCCACUUGUAUUCACUAUUUACCAUUGCCAGGUGCUUUAUAACUUUUACCAUCUCAGAUAAAAAAACAUAUUAUUUCUAAUUUCAGAGUAGAAAUUGCAUUUCAUUUGAUAAACAAUAAGAUAAUAUCAGACAAGUAUUUUGAUUUUACUUGGUUUUUGCUUGACUGGUUAAAUUUUAUAAAAACCUGAGAUGCUUAAAGUCUAAUAGUUCAAAUUAGCUUCAAACUUUUCUCAGAAGCAACUGUAGUAAGAAUUAGCAAGUGUGACAAUCCCAUUUAGUCCUUAAAAAUCAAAUUAAUUAAAAUGUAAUUAAGAGCUAAUGUAAGUCUCUUUGACUGAAGUCACCAUAAAAUCCAUGAAUGACAUGACUUGGAUGUAUUUUAUUUGUACCUGAAAUGGUCACUACAGUUUUAUCUCAAUGUGUGUGUAUUGCAAGUGCCAUCUUGGCAGGCACAAAUACAAAUUUCAUGUUCACUUAAAUCGAACUCUACUAUAUCUCAUGCCAG
Molecule: long non-coding RNA, 9889 nt
Filed under: Homo sapiens (human)
Lineage: Eukaryota; Metazoa; Chordata; Mammalia; Primates; Hominidae
Description: non-protein coding lnc-MYF5-2:6
Source: RNAcentral